This 1676-nucleotide long non-coding RNA is filed under the name Panax ginseng (ginseng). RNAcentral describes it as "long non-coding RNA (PGIN_LNC015087)". The record is from RNAcentral. Lineage: Eukaryota; Viridiplantae; Streptophyta; Magnoliopsida; Apiales; Araliaceae.
UUCCAUAACAAUAAUUCUACACUGACCGAUUUUUAGUGAAAUUUUAGUGACCGACUGAUGUGGCACAGUCACAUUAGUAUGGGAGAGAAAGUGAAAUAAAAAAAAAGAAGGGUCAAUAUACAGCAAUUUCACCAAAGUCAGAUUUCACCUCUCUCUCCCUUUACCAAUAUCAGACUUUACCUCUCUCUCUCUGUAACCAAUAUCACACUCUCUCUCCUUUUCUCACCAAAGUCGCCAUCUACAAAAAUACAGGGCCCAAAAUCGAAAGCAAAAUCCCGCAAAAUCAGCACCAAGAGAGGUAUUCAUACACAUAUUGUAUAUAUGAUGUACAUAUAUAUGUAUAUAUUUAUGCCCUAAAACUGAUUUCAAGAUUUUGAAACCCAUUUUUUUGAUGAUACUCUUCUUCUCCCUGUUUGCUUCACAAAACCCAUUUAAUCUUUCUCUUAUGCUAAGCUCAGAUUCUCAUAUUUCUCAUGAUGUAACUUUAUAUUGUGAAUGUCGUUCAUUUGGGUGCCAACUAAAUGUGGUAUUAAAAAUAGAAAAACUUUGGUAAUGAAUGAAUAGAAAUCAACUAAAUGUGAUUAAGCUGUAUAUUGUAAGCCUGCUGCUGGCCUGCUGCUUGCCUACUGCGGUGCUGCCCCUCUGGUGAUAAAUUUGUUGGCUAGAAUCAUGCAUAAACAUCUAUAGUAUUCUGGAAUUUAAGUUGUGCACUUGUGGUGUUUGAUAAAUUGUCUCAAAGAUGUUCAAGUGUUUUAAAACUAAUUAUUACUCAAUAUUUGGAGUAUGUUCAAGAUGUUCAAGUGUUUCAAGAGUUUUAAAACUAAUUAUUACUCAAUUGUCUCAAAUUGUGGUUUUACUGAUCUUGACAGAGAUAAUUUGGUCCAAGUUUUGUGCAUGUAAAUAUGACUGUUUAGGUCUCAAAUUGUGAUAGCAAAACUGGUUGCAAUGCUAAGAUUAUGAUUUCUUUAGUUGAUUAUUGCAAGCUAUUGAAAAGAGAUUAACAUUCUUUUAGAAAUUUGAGGUUGCUGUUAUACUCCUUCAGAAUCAAAUUUAUCCAUGUUACGCUGAACACGUAGUUUUCGAUUCACUGAGUUUGUAUAAGGUAUAGAUAUGUGUAUCCACUUGCUUGCAACAGAAAAGGGCAAUAUAUGAGCUAUCGUGUCUACCUGUAACAAUUAACCUUUGGCUAUAUCUUGACUCUCUGUUCUUGUGAUGUGGUGAUGGUGCAAUGCAUCCUUAUAAAUUCCAUUUCUAUAUAAUUAAAUCUAGUGCUUUUGAAUGCUAUAUGUCACAUCCGACACUAACUUGGUUGAUUUGUCCUUCAGGAUGAUAUACUUUUAAAGCUGAUGACAUCCCCUGGCUCUUAUGAGGAUCUCUUCGAAAGAUGAUGUUGCUUAUGCUUGUAAUUUAUUCAUACAAUUAUUAUACAAGUUUGAGCUAAAGUUCCUUCUAGUCUGUACACCAAGUGUUAAAGCUCCGUCUUGGAUACAAUAUGUUUACCGUAAGAAACUAAGAGUACACAUCUUUGGGAAAUAAUUUUUGUUUAAACUAGUUCCUUUUGUUUUAGCAGAUUAUGAUCUUUUAUGUAACAGAUAACAAGGUUUUGAAAUUAAGGCAGCUAAGCUGGAUGGAUUGAUGCAACACCCAGCUCGAUAAAAUUUAAGAUAAAAACUAAG